RNAcentral lists this long non-coding RNA (1229 nucleotides) under Sinocyclocheilus anshuiensis. Its description in RNAcentral is "lncRNA (ENSSANG00000023833.1)". The record is from RNAcentral. Lineage: Eukaryota; Metazoa; Chordata; Actinopteri; Cypriniformes; Cyprinidae.
GAGUGUGUUUGUCACUUUUACUGCAGUUGGUGAGAAGUCUGCUACACAGAAAAUUAUACUCUAGAUGUCACAUAUGGAGUCUGGCUAACAGGGAACUAAACUAGAUCAAAUGCACUUCAUUUGCAAUGGGAUUGGCGUAAGAAUUAGAGAAAAUGCAUUGAUUUCAUGACGCCCCCUACCGUGCGCCAUGACCAUCUGAACACAGACUUUGGUAAGUAAAAUGUUUGUAUUUAUUGGCUUAACGUGUAAAAUUACGUAUGUUGUCGAAGAAGAGUAAGUAUGGCUUAAAGAGUAGUAUUUUCUUGUUAUAUGUAUGCACGGGCGGUUUCUCCAUUAGGGCGAUUGGGCGACGCACCACCAAAGCGCGAAAGGGAGGGAUUGUUUUUCUUUCACAUUCAACCAGUGUUACGCUAGCUUUCACUGUUUGUUCUGCCUCUAAAUAGUCCAAUCGAGAUAUAUCCAGCUGCAGACCCGCAGCACCAGCAGUUUCAAAACCGCAGCCACAGAACCGGAAGUGAGAGGCGGAGUUAUUGACAACGAGAGAGCACGAGACGUAUAAGGAUUCAGAGUUGACACAUUACCUGAGCUGCAGCAGUGCAACAAGUGUUACAGCAAUCACCAGCAAUUUUCUGCUUGACCAGCAUGUUUAAGUCAGCCAAACUGGUCAAAUUAAUAAGUCAUCAUCAAAUCCACUUCAACAUGCAGUUGUCUGUGGAGUACAUCUUGUCUUGGGAGCACCCUUUGAUUUUACAUCUGUAAGUAGUUAUCAGUUAAAGUAAUUGACCUUUAUGAUGUUGUAGCAGUUGAUAGUUAAAGAUUUCUGUUUGUGUCUUCCAGUGUGACAUUCCAAUCAUACUGAGAUGGUGGACUCCAGAUGGUUUUCUCUGAAAGGUACUGGACAUUUCCUCCAGCACACCAUUACAUUUGCACCCCCUUCUGACCAAUUUGAAAUUAACCAAGAUACAUAUGUAUUACAGUGCAGAAACCCUACAAGAGGCCCUUCCAAUUGGAUAACAGGCUACGCUUGUGAGGAGAUCCCAGUAAUCUCACAGAAGUUGUGAAAUGGCUCCAUUAAACAGACAUCUGCUCAGGGGGGCAGUGGAAGAGCCUCUUUUCCUUAUAAUGGAGGAAGAGAACAAGGAAAAGGCCCUCAACAAUCUCCUGGAACAGAAGUUUCCAGAGUGCCCUUCAUAUUUCAUCUUGUGUUUAGGGGAGUUAUUUUUAUAGGA